GUUAGAACGCUCGUAGUCGGAUUUCGGGGCGGGCCGACCGGUCUGCCGAUGGGUACGCACUGGUCGGCGCGUCCUUCCUUCCGGAGACCGUGCCUACUCUUAACUGAGCGGGGGCGGGAGACGGAACGUUUACUUUGAAAAAAUCAGAGUGUUUCAAGCAGGCAGCUCGCUCUUGCAUGGAUUAGCAUGGGAUAAUGAAAUAGGACCUUGGUGCUAUUUUGUUGGUUUCGAACACCGAAGUAAUGAUGAGAAGGGACAGUCAGGGGCACUCGUAUUCCGCCGAGAGAGGUGAAAUUCUCAGACCAGCGGAAGACGAACCACUGCGAAAGCAUUUGCCAGGGAUGUUUUCACUGAUCAAGAACGAAAGUUAGGGGAUCGAAGACGAUCAGAUACCGUCGUAGUCUUAACCAUAAACCAUACCGACUAGGGAUUGGAGGAUGUUCACUGAUUGACUCCUUCAGCACCUUACGGGAAACUAAAGUCUUUGGGUUCCGGGGGGAGUAUGGUCGCAAGGCUGAAACUUAAAGGAAUUGACGGAAGGGCACCACCAGGUGUGGAGCCUGCGGCUUAAUUUGACUCAACACGGGGAAACUUACCAGGUCCAGACAUUGUGAGGAUUGACAGAUUGAGAGCUCUUUCUUGAUUUGAUGGGUGGUGGUGCAUGGCCGUUCUUAGUUGGUGGAGUGAUUUGUCUGGUUAAUUCCGUUAACG
RNAcentral lists this ribosomal RNA (711 nucleotides) under uncultured marine eukaryote. Its description in RNAcentral is "SSU rRNA". It matches the Rfam family "Eukaryotic small subunit ribosomal RNA", at positions 618 to 1333 of the family's 1831-position model. The record is from RNAcentral.